RNAcentral lists this ribosomal RNA (492 nucleotides) under uncultured bacterium. RNAcentral describes it as "partial 16S ribosomal RNA". It matches the Rfam family "Bacterial small subunit ribosomal RNA", at positions 29 to 507 of the family's 1533-position model. The record is from RNAcentral.
AGUGAACGCUGGCGGUAGGCCUAACACAUGCAAGUCGAACGGCAGCACAGUAAGGGCUUGCUCUUACGGGUGGCGAGUGGCGGACGGGUGAGGAAUACAUCGGAAUCUACUUUUUCGUGGGGGAUAACGUAGGGAAACUUACGCUAAUACCGCAUACGACCUACGGGUGAAAGCAGAGGAUCUUCGGACCUUGCGCGAUUGAAUGAGCCGAUGUCGGAUUAGCUAGUUGGCGGGGUAAAGGCCCACCAAGGCGACGAUCCGUAGCUGGUCUGAGAGGAUGAUCAGCCACACUGGAACUGAGACACGGUCCAGACUCCUACGGGAGGCAGCAGUGGGGAAUAUUGGACAAUGGGCGCAAGCCUGAUCCAGCCAUACCGCGUGGGUGAAGAAGGCCUUCGGGUUGUAAAGCCCUUUUGUUGGGAAAGAAAAGCAGCAGGUUAAUACCCCGCUGUUCUGACGGUACCCAAAGAAUAAGCACCGGCUAACUUCGUG